Molecule: non-coding RNA, 754 nt
Organism: Schizosaccharomyces pombe (fission yeast)
Lineage: Eukaryota; Fungi; Ascomycota; Schizosaccharomycetes; Schizosaccharomycetales; Schizosaccharomycetaceae
Source: the annotation of a GenBank genome assembly
UUUCGCUCGAGAUUCUUCAUCUGAAGCAGUGGUGUCCUCAAUAAUAGGUACUUCGUCUUCCGAAUCGUCACUGCUUAUGUUAAAUAAUUUACUGGGAUUAGCUCGAGAAUUAGAGGAGGACUGCUCUCCCGUAGAUGUCAAAGCUUGCUUCUGAAAAUUUUCAUGGCCGUUGGUUUCAAUUGAUUCAUUUACUUUAAACAAAUCAUCCUUUGCAGCAUCUGUUUCGUCUGAAUCGGAUUCAUCCUCAACAUAUUGCAAACCAACGUCUUGCAAUGGAAGCUUGUCGACAUCAAUACUUGCUAAAGCAUCCACUUCCACUAAAGGUUCUAAAGGAACUGGAUUAUUCUUAUAACAUUUUAACAUAUGCUCACGAUGUUGACGAACCCCUUCAUCAACUGAUAAUAUGGUACUUAGGAUACUAGGGAAAUCUUUGACUCGAUUGACACCCUCUCUUUCUAUACGAGAUGCGAGUGCGUAUAAUUUACUAGUUAGCAAAUCAAAGCCAUUUGCAAAUGUAGCCUUUACGCGUAAUAAUCCACGACUAGAUUUAGAAACAUCAUUUUGGAAAUCUACCGGAUCUUGGAUUGAAAGCAAAUAAGGCUGGUUUGGCUUCAGCCAACCCAUCUUCUUUUUUGAAAAAUAAAAACCACCAUUGUGAACAGCGAUACCGACAGCAUCAUAAUAAAAUUGUUUUCCGUACAACUCCAAAAACUCUAGCAGCAAAACACCAAAAUUGUCUUCUUCACGCAUAGAA